GGAGUUAGCCGGUGCUUCUUCUGUGAGUGAUGUCCUUCCUGCCGGCUAUUAACCCGCAAGGCCUUCUUCCUCACUGAAAGUGCUUUACAACCCGAAGGCCUUCUUCACACACGCGGCAUGGCUGGAUCAGGGUUGCCCCCAUUGUCCAAUAUUCCCCACUGCUGCCUCCCGUAGGAGUCUGGGCCGUGUCUCAGUCCCAGUGUGGCUGAUCAUCCUCUCAGACCAGCUACGGAUCGUCGCCUUGGUGAGCCGUUACCUCACCAACCAGCUAAUCCGACAUAGGCUCAUCCGAUAGCGCGAGGCCCGAAGGUCCCCCGCUUUCCCCCGUAGGGCGUAUGCGGUAUUAGCCUGGGUUUCCCCAGGUUAUCCCCCACUACCGGGCAGAUUCCUAUGCAUUACUCACCCGUCCGCCGCUCGCCACCAGGGAGCAAGCUCCCCGUGCUGCCGCUCGACUUGCAUGUGUUAGGCCUGCCGCCAGCGUUCAAUCUGAACCAAGAUCAAAUUCUGA
Molecule: ribosomal RNA, 508 nt
Filed under: uncultured bacterium
Lineage: Bacteria
Description: partial 16S ribosomal RNA
Source: RNAcentral